RNAcentral lists this ribosomal RNA (2721 nucleotides) under Triticum aestivum (bread wheat). RNAcentral's name for it is "partial small subunit ribosomal RNA". The record is from RNAcentral. Lineage: Eukaryota; Viridiplantae; Streptophyta; Magnoliopsida; Poales; Poaceae.
AUGGCGAAGGAGGUGGAGGAUACCGGCUUCAAGCUGUGGUACACGGGGACGGCUGCAAACAGAAAUGGCGUAGGCAUCUUGAUCAACAAGAGCCUCAAGUAUGGAGUGGUAGACGUCAGGAGACGUGGGGACCGGAUUAUCCUGGUCAAGCUGGUAGCUGAGGACUUGGUUCUCAAUGUUAUCAGCGCAUAUGCCCCGCAAGUAGGCCACAAUGAGAACACCAAGAGGGAGUUCUGGGAAGGCUUGGAAGACAUGGUUAGGAGUGUACCGAUUGGUGAGAAGCUCUUCAUAGGAGAAGACCUGAAUGGCCACAUGGGUACAUCUAACACAGGUUUUGAAGGGGCGCAUGGGGGCUUUGGCUAUGGCAUCAGGAAUCAAGAAGGAGAAGAUGUCUUAAGCUUUGCUCUAGCCUACAACAUGAUUGUAGCUAACACCCUCUUUAGAAAGAGAGAAUCACAUCUGGUGACUUUUAGUAGUGGCCAACACUCUAGCCAGAUUGAUUUCAUCCUCUCGAGAAGAGAAGAUAGGCGUGCGUGCCUAGACUGUAAGGUGAUACCUGGGGAGAGUAUUGUACCCCAGCAUAAGCUGGUGGUUGCUGACUUCCGCUUUCGGAUUCGUGUCCAGCGGGAUAAGCGUGCCAAGGUCGCUAGAACGAAGUGGUGGAAGCUCAAGGGGGAGGUAGCUCAGGUGUUCAAGGAGAGGGUAUUUAAGGAGGGCCCUUGGGAGGAAGGAGGGGAUGCGGACAAUGUGUGGAUGAAGAUGGCGACUUGCAUUCGUAAGGUGGCCUCGGAGGAGUUUGGAGUGUCCAGGGGAAGGAGAAGCGAAGAUAAGGAUACCUGGUGGUGGAAUGAUGAUGUCCAGAAGGCGCUUAAAGAGAAGAAAGAUUGCUUCAGACGCCUAUACCUGGAUAGGAGUGCAGACAACAUAGAGAAGUACAAGAUGGCGAAGAAGGCCGCAAAGCGAGCUGUUGGUGAAGCAAGGGGUCGGGCAUAUGAGGACCUCUACCAACGGUUAGGCACGAAGGAAGGGGAAAGGGACAUCUAUAAGAUGGCUAAGAUCCGGGAGAGGAAGACGAGGGAUAUUGGCCAAGUCAAAUGCAUCAAGGACGGAGCAGGCCAACUCUUGGUGAAGGACGAAGAGAUUAAGCAUAGAUGGCGGGAGUACUUCGACAAGCUGUUCAAUGGGGAGAAUGAGAGUUCUACCAUUGAACUGAAUGACUCCUUUGAUGAGACCAGCAUGCGUUUUGUGCGGCGCAUCCAGGAGUCUGAGGUGAAGGAGGCUUUAAAAAGGAUGAAAGGAGGCAAGGCGAUGGGCCCUGAUUGUAUCCCCAUUGAGGUGUGGAAAGGUCUCGGGGACAUAGCGAUAGUAUGGCUAACCAAGCUUUUCAACCUCAUUUUUCGGGCAAACAAGAUGCCAGAAGAAUGGAGACGGAGUAUAUUAGUACCAGUCUUCAAGAACAAGGGGGAUGUUCAGAGUUGUACUAAUUACCGUGGAAUUAAGCUGAUGAGCCAUACAAUGAAGCUAUGGGAGAGAGUCAUUGAGCACCGCUUAAGAAGAAUGACAAGCGUGACCAAAAAUCAGUUUGGUUUCAUGCCUGGGAGGUCGACCAUGGAAGCCAUUUUCUUGGUACGACAACUUAUGGAGAGAUAUAGGGAGCAUAAGAAGGACUUGCAUAUGGUGUUCAUUGACUUGGAGAAGGCCUAUGAUAAGAUACCGCGGAAUGUCAUGUGGUGGGCCUUGGAGAAACACAAAGUCCCAGCAAAGUACAUUACCCUCAUCAAGGACAUGUACAAUAAUGUUGUGACAAGUGUUCGAACAAGUGAUGUCGACACCGAUGACUUCCCGAUUAAGAUAGGACUGCAUCAGGGGUCAGCUUUGAGCCCUUAUCUUUUUGCAUUGGUGAUGGAUGAGGUCACAAGGGGUAUACAAGGAGAUAUCCCAUGGUGUAUGCUCUUUGCGGAUGAUGUGGUGCUAGUUGACGAUAGUCGGACGGGGGUAAAUAGGAAGUUAGAGUUAUGGAGACAAACCUUGGAAUCGAAAGGGUUUAGGCCUAGUAGAACUAAAACCGAGUACAUGAUGUGCGGUUUCAGUACUACUAGCUGUGAGGAGGAGGAGGUUAGCCUUGAUGGCCAGGUGGUACCUCGGAAGGACACCUUUCGGUAUUUGGGGUCAAUGUUGCAGGAGGAUGGGGGUAUUGAUGAAGAUGUGAACCAUCGAAUCAAAGCCGGAUGGAUGAAGUGGCGCCAAGCUUCUGGCAUUCUCUGUGACAAGAGAGUGCCACAAAAGCUAAAAGGCAAGUUCUACAGGACGGCGGUUCGACCCGCAAUGUUGUAUGGCGCGGAGUGUUGGCCGACUAAAAGGCGACAUGUUCAACAGUUAGGUGUGGCGGAGAUGCGUAUGUUGAGAUGGAUGUGUGGCCACACGAGGAAGGAUCGAGUCCGGAAUGAUGAUAUACGAGAUAGAGUUGGGGUAGCACCAAUUGAGGAGAAGCUUGUCCAACAUCGUUUGAGAUGGUUUGGGCAUAUUCAGCGCAGGCCUCCAGAAGCUCCAGUGCAUAGCGGACGGCUAAAGCGUGCGGAGAAUGUCAAGAGAGGGCAGGGUCGACCGAUUUUGACAUGGGAGGAGUCCGUUAAGAGAGACCUGAAGGAUUGGAGUAUCAACAAAGAGCUAGCUAUGGACAGGGGUGCGUGGAAGCUUGCUAUCCAUGUGCCAGAGCCAUGA